This 301-nucleotide ribosomal RNA is filed under the name uncultured bacterium. Its description in RNAcentral is "partial 16S ribosomal RNA". It matches the Rfam family "Bacterial small subunit ribosomal RNA", at positions 509 to 808 of the family's 1533-position model. The record is from RNAcentral.
CAGUCGCCGCGGUAAUACGUAGGUCCCGAGCGUUGUCCGGAUUUAUUGGGCGUAAAGCGAGCGCAGGCGGUUAGGUAAGUCUGAAGUUAAAGGCUGUGGCUUAACCAUAGUAUGCUUUGGAAACUGUUUAACUUGAGUGCAAGAGGGGAGAGUGGAAUUCCAUGUGUAGCGGUGAAAUGCGUAGAUAUAUGGAGGAACACCGGUGGCGAAAGCGGCUCUCUGGCUUGUAACUGACGCUGAGGCUCGAAAGCGUGGGGAGCAAACAGGAUUAGAUACCCCUGUAGUCCCUGUCUCUUAUACA